UGGGCCUCCAAUGAUCAUCAUACUAGCGGACCCAUUAUCAUUCAAUUUAAUGAGAGGCAAUGAUUUAGUUAUCACCAUAACUAUCUCAUUUUAGGGAUCUAAUAAUUUAGAGGACUCAAUUAAUGAAUUAAGAGAAGAGAAGAGAUCAACCAAUUAACUACAAUCCUUCCAUUGACUUUAUCAAGUCAUUGAAUUGGAUUAGUGACAUAUUGAUUGAUUGGCACCU
This 226-nucleotide long non-coding RNA is filed under the name Elaeis guineensis (African oil palm). RNAcentral's name for it is "long non-coding RNA (EGUI_LNC059826)". The record is from RNAcentral. Lineage: Eukaryota; Viridiplantae; Streptophyta; Magnoliopsida; Arecales; Arecaceae.